CAACAAGGAAGUGCACAUGCUUA
Molecule: non-coding RNA, 23 nt
Filed under: Arabidopsis thaliana (thale cress)
Lineage: Eukaryota; Viridiplantae; Streptophyta; Magnoliopsida; Brassicales; Brassicaceae
Source: RNAcentral